Molecule: small nuclear RNA, 18 nt
Filed under: Arabidopsis thaliana (thale cress)
Lineage: Eukaryota; Viridiplantae; Streptophyta; Magnoliopsida; Brassicales; Brassicaceae
Description: snRNA_09888
Source: RNAcentral
AAUGACUAACUCUUGUUC